AGAAGUUGAAGUCAAGUUAUUUAAAAAUAUCCUCAUCUAUGUUGCAGAUAGUUGUUUGAUCUAGGCACAUGAACCACUUGUGUCUAAUUUAUUUGUGCUUUGUUAUGGUAGAUUUGAUUUUUAUACUUAAUAUAUUCAACAUAAACAGGCAAUAGGGAAUUAAGUCAACCAAAAUGCCUUGUGUCAGAAUCGGGAUCCUCUAUGGUGGAUCUUUUGCACCAUAGAGGGCUGUGCAUCCUUGGAUUGCCACCAUGUCAUCCAUCUCAAAAUGGAGGGCUCUUGCACAAUCUCCUUAUCCAAUGAGUUUGGUAACUACUCAUGUGUUUGGCAUUCCAAUGCGACGGUCUCUGUGAGAACCUUCCAUUUAUGGGAUUGAUGACAUAGCAGCGAUCCGUGUAUUCGUAGCUGUCUGUGGUGCGAAUAAUGCACUGCAGAG
Molecule: long non-coding RNA, 436 nt
Filed under: Elaeis guineensis (African oil palm)
Lineage: Eukaryota; Viridiplantae; Streptophyta; Magnoliopsida; Arecales; Arecaceae
Description: long non-coding RNA (EGUI_LNC008809)
Source: RNAcentral